CAAUAGCGUAUAUUAAUGUUGUUGCAGUUAAAAAGCUCGUAGCCGACUCUCGGGGCGGUGUCAACGGUCCGCAGAAAUGUGAGCACUGUUGUCUCCGCCUCUUCCUUCUGGACACCAUGUCUUCUCUUAACUGAGCGGAUGUGGGGGCCAGAUCGUUCACUUUGAACAAAUUAGAGUGUUCAAAGCAGGCCUACGCUUGAAUACAUUAGCAUGGAAUAAUGGAAUAGGACUUUGGUGCUAUUUUGUUGGUUUAUGGGACCGAAGUAAUGAUUAACAGGGACAGUUGGGGCCGUUUAUAUUUCGUUGUCAGAGGUGAAAUUCUUGGAUUUACGAAAGAUAAACUUCUGCGAAAGCAUUCGGCAAGGAUGUUUUCAUUGAUCAAGAACGAAAGUUAGGGGAUCGAAGACGAUCAGAU
Molecule: ribosomal RNA, 415 nt
Filed under: uncultured eukaryote
Lineage: Eukaryota
Description: bacterial SSU rRNA
Rfam family: Eukaryotic small subunit ribosomal RNA
Source: RNAcentral